This 656-nucleotide ribosomal RNA is filed under the name Dissodactylus crinitichelis. RNAcentral describes it as "partial 16S ribosomal RNA". It matches the Rfam family "Bacterial large subunit ribosomal RNA", at positions 1831 to 2750 of the family's 2925-position model. Lineage: Eukaryota; Metazoa; Arthropoda; Malacostraca; Decapoda; Pinnotheridae. The record is from RNAcentral.
GUCUGCUUGCAGUUAUAAGGAGUCUAGCCUGCUCUCUGAUUAAUUUAAGGGCCGCGGUAAUUUGACCGUGCAAAGGUAGCAUAAUAAUUAGUUUUUUAAUUGGAAUCUUGUAUGAAUGGUUGGACAAAAGAAAUACUGUCUCUGUAAUUAUUAUUGAAUUUAACUUUUAAGUGAAAAGGCUUAAAUUAUUUAAAAAGACGAUAAGACCCUAUAAAGCUUUAUAAGUGAUAUCAUUUAAUUAAAUUAAGUUUAUAUAAAAAUUUAAUGAUUUGAUUAUUAUGUUGGGGAGACAGAAUUAUAAUUAAUAAUAACUGAAGUUUAAAUAUUACAAAUAUAUGUGAUUUAAAGUGAUAAAAGAUCCUAUAUAAAGAUUAAAAGUUUAAGUUACUUUAGGGAUAACAGCGUUAUUUUCUUUGAGAGUUCAUAUCGAAAAGAAAGAUUGCGACCUCGAUGUUGAAUUAAAAUUUCUAGGUAGUUGCAGAAGUUACUUUAGAGGGUCUGUUCGACCCUUAAAUUUUUACAUGAUUUGAGUUCAGACCGGCGUGAGCCAGGUUGGUUUCUAUCUUUUAAGAAGAAGUGAAUUACUUUAGUACGAAAGGAUUGGGUAAUUAAAUUUUAUUUAAGUGUGGUUAUUUUGGCAGAAAUUAUGUGUAAGA